RNAcentral lists this transfer RNA (77 nucleotides) under Chlorobium chlorochromatii CaD3. RNAcentral describes it as "tRNA-Ile". The record is from RNAcentral. Lineage: Bacteria; Pseudomonadati; Chlorobiota; Chlorobiia; Chlorobiales; Chlorobiaceae.
AAACACCAAUCAAAGAUUUCCCCCAUUGUACGUUUGGGGUCGUUGCAAUCAAUAAUGGAUGUGUCGUUCAAAGUGUC